AAAUCCGCUUUGAUAAUGCUGGGAUGUGAUGGGGAGCGAAAUUUAGUAGCGAAGUAGCUGAUUUCACACUGUCAAGAAAAGUCUCUAUCGAGGUUAAAGGUACCCGUACCGCAAACCGACACAGGUGGGUGAGGAGAGUAUCCUAAGGCCAGCGAGAGAACUGUUGUUAAGGAACUCGGCAAAAUGACCCCGUAACUUAGGGAUAAGGGGUGCCACCAUCAGGUGGCCGCAGAGAAUAGGCCCAAGCGACUGUUUACCAAAAACAUAGGUUUCUGCUAAGUCGCAAGACGAUGUAUAGGAGCUGACGCCUGCCCGGUGCUGGAAGGUUAAGGGGAUCUGUUAGAGCAAUCGAAGCAGUGAACUUAAGCCCCAGUAAACGGCGGCCGUAACUAUAACGGUCCUAAGGUAGCGAAAUUCCUUGUCGGGUAAGUUCCGACCCGCACGAAAGGCGUAACGAUUUGGGCACUGUCCCAACAACAGACUCGGUGAAAUUGUAAUUCCGGUGAAGAUGCCGGAUACCGGCGACAGGACGGAAAGACCCCAUGGAGCUUUACUGUAGCUUGACAUUGGGUCUUGGUACUACAUGUACAGGAUAGGUGGGAGGCUUUGAAACCAGGACGCCAGUUUUGGCGGAGCCAUCCUUGGGAU
Molecule: ribosomal RNA, 648 nt
Filed under: Clostridioides difficile
Lineage: Bacteria; Bacillati; Bacillota; Clostridia; Peptostreptococcales; Peptostreptococcaceae
Description: bacterial LSU rRNA
Rfam family: Bacterial large subunit ribosomal RNA
Source: RNAcentral